RNAcentral lists this ribosomal RNA (466 nucleotides) under uncultured eubacterium WJGRT-143. RNAcentral's name for it is "bacterial SSU rRNA". It matches the Rfam family "Bacterial small subunit ribosomal RNA", at positions 48 to 512 of the family's 1533-position model. The record is from RNAcentral.
CUUACACAUGCAAGUCGAACGGCAGCGCGGGGCAACCUGGCGGCGAGUGGCGAACGGGUGAGUAAUAUAUCGGAACGUACCCUGGAGUGGGGGAUAACGUAGCGAAAGUUACGCUAAUACCGCAUACGAUCUAAGGAUGAAAGUGGGGGAUCGCAAGACCUCAUGCUCGUGGAGCGGCCGAUAUCUGAUUAGCUAGUUGGUGGGGUAAAGGCCUACCAAGGCAUCGAUCAGUAGCUGGUCUGAGAGGACGACCAGCCACACUGGAACUGAGACACGGUCCAGACUCCUACGGGAGGCAGCAGUGGGGAAUUUUGGACAAUGGGCGCAAGCUGAUCCAGCAAUGCCGCGUGAGUGAAGAAGGCCUUCGGGUUGUAAAGCUCUUUUGUCAGGGAAGAAACGGUCUACUCUAAUACAGUGGGCUAAUGACGGUACCUGAAGAAUAAGCACCGGCUAACUACGNGCCAGC